Zingiber officinale is the source of this 3090-nucleotide long non-coding RNA. RefSeq lists it as uncharacterized. NCBI's taxonomy places the organism in Eukaryota, Viridiplantae, Streptophyta, Magnoliopsida, Zingiberales, Zingiberaceae. The record is from RefSeq and is a predicted model, not a curated record. The transcript is spliced from 3 exons.
UAAUUUUAUAACAGAAUAUAUUUGACGUCUUGUUCUCGCUGCAUCGAUGAUCGACCCGAGCUCCGCGCUCCCGACGCUUGGUUCUUCCCCUUGAUCGGAGGAGCUGAAUCCCGCGAAGACGAACGUAGAUCCAUCUUCUUCCUCUCAGGUUCCUCCUCCUCGAUCUUGAGGGAGAAGGCGACUCUGAGUUGUAACUUCGCUUCCGAUUUUUGAAGCUUGCCUCGGCUCUGGCCUUGUCUGGUGGUCGAUUCGAAAUUCGUUUUCUUCUCCGUUUCCUUUUCAUGCUAAAAUGGCGGCGCUGCCGGAUCUGGUCCUGGAUUUGGAUCGGGAUGGGAGGAAUAUCAAUGGCGCCGAGGCGGUGGGCUUCUUUCAGGGUUACAAUUUGCCGAGACAUGUUUUCGCCAAGUUCUGUUCCGAAGCUCACUGGUGAAUCGUGAAGCAAUGGGUAACUCUUUAAGGUGACAUUUGGUAUCAUUGUUAGGCUGGCUCUAGAAUGAAAUGGAACAGAAUCGAAUCAAGGUUGCAAUCUGAACAUGAAAGGGCUUCUGGGUUGAACUUGCAAGGGGAAGAUCACCAAAAAACCCUCAAAACAUUCAACAUCAAGAAUGACUUCACACCUCGAGGAAGAUGAAAAGAUUACACUGACCUUCGAAUAAUGUGUUAUCCAUUCAGAUCGCACAUUCCAUAUAUUGGUAUAUCAUAGCAAAUCUACUGAGAGUAAACUUUGAACUUCAACACAUUUUAUUUAUCAAAAGUUUAGUUGGUCUAUUUUAUAGGUUCAAUUUGUUCUUUUUUUAUUAUUGGGGGUAUCAAGAAAGGAUAAAAUGUGGUUGGAUUUGAAUUUGAUCAACUACCUUAGAAGGUGAUAGAACAAGUACGAGUAGAUUAUUACGUACUCAUCGUACAAAUGAGAUAGGUAUGGAAAAUAUACCAAGUCAGUAUGAAUAUGGAUAGUAGAAAAUUCUUAGGUACUCUAUCUAUUGUGUUCCCUAGAUAAAAGUUUAUAACCUUAGAUAUGGGAGAUAUCUUUAAGACAAUGUCCUCAUACAAUUUUCAUAAUGAACUAUUGGAUAAAAUAAUGUGAAACGUACGGCACAAUAUUGAUAUAGUUUCUUUUAUCUAAAGCUACAAAUACUUACAAGAACAGAUGUUGACCUAUCAGUGAACUCUCUGGCUAGGGGAUGAUAUUCUUUGUUAAUGCAAUCAAACAACUAAAUAAGAGUAUGAGCCAAGCACACAAUUGAACAAAUUUAAACAUGUAAUAUACAAAGAAGAAUUUGGUGGGUUUUCAUUUCAUGUUGUUUUUGUUUCUUUGGCAUUGUGCUUAUUUCUUAUUUGAAAUUUAGCAAAUCAUUCAUGUGUUUAAUUGGGUUGAACCAGCCUUAGGAUGAUCCAUUGACAGAGCAAUAGCUGGCACUUUGAUCAACCGAUUUGUCAAAGAACAAAUUUUUAAGGUUGAUUCAUGAUGGUUCUUAGUGUUUUGAGCCUCUUGAAUGAGAUGACCAUGCUUCCUCAAAAGUAAAAAAAAAGAUGGAAACGAAACAAAGAAAAGUAAUACAAGUAAUAAACGAAGAUCCACAUGAGGAGCAUGUCGUGAAUAAUGAGAAUGGCACUUAUAUGGGAUACCUUAGAUUUUUAUUACAUACAAACAUUUUAUUUCAUGGUAACUUUAUUAUACAUAUAUAUGAUACAUAUCCAUGAUAGAAGUACCAUUGGCACACUUAUAGAACACUAACCUGGUAACAACUAGUACAUCUCCCCGAUCUCAACUAGUCAUUAAGACAAAGAUACAGAGGACGAGCUACUGUUAAACUCAACCAAAUCUACCAUAAUUUGUCCUGUAAAACCUGGGCCGGGUGGUCACAAAUAGAAGUCCUCCGAAUUCCCUAGCAACUUGGGUGCUAUCAAUCAUCACCUCUAUCUUUGGAGGAGUGUUGUAGUGGAAGUAUCCAUUAGGAGGAGGGGGUGCAGCUGUUGACCUCCUCCUCCCAAAGUGCUCCUCUAACAUAUCAAAAGCCUCUCUUCCCACCUUACCAAGGUCUCUCUGAGGUGGUGCCAUAAGUGGAUGGGCCUUUGAGAAGAUGGAACUCAAGGUGACCACUAGCUUUUUCUUGCUGAACACCAAACAACUGUACGGGUAUCCUUUUUAUAAGCGAGGUUUGGAUCAAUGUUUGAGAUCCAACCCCGGCUUGCCUGGCCCAACCAACUAAAACAAUAAUGGAAGACUAAAUUAGUCUUGAACCGAUUCAAUCCGAUCGAGAAUUCACUUUAGUUGACUAGGAGUCAAGGUCUAGCUUUUUUUUUGCCUUUCGGUGGUCUUGGGAUUCCUCUUUGAUCAGUUGUUGGCAUUGAUGCUCUUCCAAUUUCCUGAAAUUAUUGUGUGAAAGGAAUAUUUAAGGUGAUGAUUUGAAUUGCUUGAGGUUAUGGUAGAUAAGAGAGAAGAAAAGCAUAUGAUGAUACAUCUGAUGUUGGUAAAGAGAAUUAUUGGGAUAAGUAUUAUGGUAGAAGUAUUGAUUGAAACAAAAGUUUGUUUAUUUGAGUUUGGAAUUAGAUGCGGCAAUCAUGCAUUAUUCUGUAACUUUAUUGAGCCUAACUUGUUGGCAAGUGCCUUGAAUAUGUUGGAUAUAGAUGAUGAACUACAUGUGCAACACAAUCAGAAUUUCAAAUCGAUUCAUUGGUGAGUGAACAUAACCUACAAUAUAUUCAUCCUUGUUUAGAGCUGUUUUAUCCCCCAAUUUGAUUCAUUUUUUCUGUAUUCUUUUAGUUCAAUAAUUUUCGUUUUAAAAAAACAUAUUUCAGGUAAGUUAAAUCUAAAGAUGAAAUAUUCUCAUUCCUUUUUAUCUUGCAUGUUGUGAACAGAGCAUCCUUGUUUAUUGUAUAUUGAUCAGGUGGAACUCUCUAGUUCGAAGUGUAUACCUUACCAAAAAAAUAUUCUUUUAUUCCGGUACAAUAUUUCUUAUUUUAAUUAUUCUCCACAAAAUUAGAAUAAGGAUUUUUGUUUUUUGUAAGCUCCCUGUGGGUUCGUAUAUUGUUGCCACUUGAUAUUUUGGGAAUCAAAUUGCGUGAGUGGCCAUUGCCAUUGGAUUUCUG